This 1061-nucleotide long non-coding RNA is filed under the name Apteryx rowi (Okarito brown kiwi). RNAcentral's name for it is "lncRNA (ENSARWG00000012369.1)". Lineage: Eukaryota; Metazoa; Chordata; Aves; Apterygiformes; Apterygidae. The record is from RNAcentral.
UGCUUGGACUGCUUUUUUUCUUCUGCAUGUUGAUCCAUGUACAUGUUUGCUCUAACACUUACUAAAUCCCAUUUUGACCACUCUGUGUAACAGGAGCUGAGAGCCAACCGUGGUACAUAUUGCACAGACAAGCCCAGCAGUAGUUUUGUUCUAUAGGGCUUUCCAGGCCUAUUGUUUGGAGUAUUCCCUAUAGUCUGUGUUCCUUAAUGUGUAGGUUUCAUGUCCAGAGCUCAGAUGGGUUAUCAGUGUUUCUGUGCAAGAUUAGAUUUAUCCUUCUAUUGUUGCAGUUCUUUUCCUACUUGCAGGCCGCUCCCCUGCUUUUUACUGAGUGCUGGCUCUGCAGGCAGUUGUUAUUUCAGAAUUGUUAAUUGUGUCUGCCAACUCCCACAUAGCUCCUAGAGCCUAACCUUGUGUGGGGUAACACUGUAUUUUCUGUUGCCUCGCCAUCAAAUGAGGUCCUGUCUCUCCCAGAGUGACAUGUAGACUAGUCCAUUCUCUCUUGUUCUGUUUUCUCUAGAGGGAUUUAUGGCAGUGAGCUCUUACACCUGGAGCUAAAAAUUCAAGACUGGGCAUGUAGACUGUGGUAUCUCAUAUCCACUCUGGAAUGGGCAGAGAGGGGAAACUAUUACGUAAUCGUGAGCAGAUUAUAUCUAAACAUUAAGCAUGUGAAUAGAUUCUUGGAGCCCAGGGAUUACUUAGUAAUUUUUUUUUCCUUCUUAAUCAGGGAAUAUAUGGUUUUCCCAAGUCUGCAUGUAGAAGGGCGAACUGCCAGAACAUCCGUACUUGUUUUGGACAAGAGAUUAAAGGUGCUGCAGAGACACUCAACUGCUGACCUGGGUGCUGGGAGCAGACCAUCUCCUUCAGCACGGCGCCUGCUCCUGGUGGCCUGGCUGCCCGGCUGCAGGGCAGAGCCACUUAGCCUGGGUGGAGCACCUUGAUGACGCACCUAUACAGCAUCUUGUUUUGGAGUUAGCCUGGUAGGAGUGCAACACCGAGCUCUGCAGUCAUAUCCUACAUUUAACUAUAGCUUUAUAUGCGUAAUAAAGCUGGUAGCUAAACCA